Molecule: ribosomal RNA, 464 nt
Filed under: uncultured bacterium
Lineage: Bacteria
Description: partial 16S ribosomal RNA
Rfam family: Bacterial small subunit ribosomal RNA
Source: RNAcentral
CUACGGGGGGCAGCAGUGGGGAAUUUUGGACAAUGGGGGAAACCCUGAUCCAGCCAUCCCGCGUGUGCGAUGAAGGCCUUCGGGUUGUAAAGCACUUUUGGCAGGAAAGAAACGUCAUGGGUUAAUACCCUGUGAAACUGACGGUACCUGCAGAAUAAGCACCGGCUAACUACGUGCCAGCAGCCGCGGUAAUACGUAGGGUGCAAGCGUUAAUCGGAAUUACUGGGCGUAAAGCGUGCGCAGGCGGUUCGGAAAGAAAGAUGUGAAAUCCCAGGGCUUAACCUUGGAACUGCAUUUUUAACUACCGGGCUAGAGUGUGUCAGAGGGGGGUGGAAUUCCGCGUGUAGCAGUGAAAUGCGUAGAUAUGCGGAGGAACACCGAUGGCGAAGGCAGCCUCCUGGGAUAACACUGACGCUCAUGCACGAAAGCGUGGGGAGCAAACAGGAUUAGAUACCCGGGUAGUC